GACGAACGCUGGCGGCGUGCCUAAUACAUGCGAGUUGAGCGCUGAAGGUUGGUACUUGUACCAACUGGAUGAGCAGCGAACGGGUGAGUAACGCGUGGGGAAUCUGCCUUUGAGCGGGGGACAACAUUUGGAAACGAAUGCUAAUACCGCAUAAAAACUUUAAACACAAGUUUUAAGUUUGAAAGAUGCAAUUGCAUCACUCAAAGAUGAUCCCGCGUUGUAUUAGCUAGUUGGUGAGGUAAAGGCUCACCAAGGCGAUGAUACAUAGCCGACCUGAGAGGGUGAUCGGCCACAUUGGGACUGAGACACGGCCCAAACUCCUACGGGAAGCAGCAGUAGGGAAUCUUCGGCAAUGGACGAAAGUCUGACCGAGCAACGCCGCGUGAGUGAAGAAGGUUUUCGGAUCGUAAAACUCUGUUGGUAGAGAAGAACGUUGGUGAGAGUGGAAAGCUCAUCAAGUGACGGUAACUACCCAGAAAGGGACGGCUAACUACGUG
Molecule: ribosomal RNA, 497 nt
Filed under: uncultured bacterium
Lineage: Bacteria
Description: partial 16S ribosomal RNA
Rfam family: Bacterial small subunit ribosomal RNA
Source: RNAcentral